AUUAUGGAGAGUUUGAUCCUGGCUCAGAGUGAACGCUGGCGGCGUGCCUAAUACAUGCAAGUCGAACGAUGAAGCUUUUAGCUUGCUAGAAGUGGAUUAGUGGCGCACGGGUGAGUAAGGUAUAGUUAAUCUGCCCUACACAAGAGGACAACAGUUGGAAACGACUGCUAAUACUCUAUACUCCUGCU
This 188-nucleotide ribosomal RNA is filed under the name Campylobacter jejuni. RNAcentral describes it as "partial 16S ribosomal RNA". It matches the Rfam family "Bacterial small subunit ribosomal RNA", at positions 1 to 183 of the family's 1533-position model. The record is from RNAcentral. Lineage: Bacteria; Pseudomonadati; Campylobacterota; Epsilonproteobacteria; Campylobacterales; Campylobacteraceae.